Molecule: ribosomal RNA, 224 nt
Filed under: uncultured bacterium
Lineage: Bacteria
Description: partial 16S ribosomal RNA
Rfam family: Bacterial small subunit ribosomal RNA
Source: RNAcentral
UACGGGGGGGCAAGCGUUGUUCGGAAUUACUGGGCGUAAAGGCUCGUAGGUGGCCAACUAAGUCAUACGUGAAAUCCCUCGGCUUAACCGGGGAACUGCGUCUGAUACUGGAUGGCUUGAGUUCGGGAGAGGUGAGUGGAACUGCGAGUGUAGAGGUGAAAUUCGUAGAUAUUCGCAAGAACACCAGUGGCGAAGGCGGCUCACUGGCCCGAUACGUGACGCUG